This 539-nucleotide ribosomal RNA is filed under the name uncultured archaeon. RNAcentral's name for it is "bacterial SSU rRNA". It matches the Rfam family "Archaeal small subunit ribosomal RNA", at positions 459 to 997 of the family's 1478-position model. The record is from RNAcentral.
CAGCAGCCGCGGAACACCGGCGGCCCGAGUGGUGAUCGUGAUUAUUGGGUCUAAAGGGUCCGUAGCCGGUUUGGUCAGUCCUCCGGGAAAUCUGAUAGCUCAACUAUUAGGCUUUCGGGGGAUACUGCCAGACUUGGAACCGGGAGAGGUAAGAGGUACUACAGGGGUAGGAGUGAAAUCUUGUAAUCCCUGUGGGACCACCUGUGGCGAAGGCGUCUUACCAGAACGGGUUCGACGGUGAGGGACGAAAGCUGGGGGCACGAACCGGAUUAGAUACCCGGGUAGUCCCAGCCGUAAACGAUGCUCGCUAGGUGUCAGGCAUGGCGCGACCGUGUCUGGUGCCGCAGGGAAGCCGUGAAGCGAGCCACCUGGGAAGUACGGCCGCAAGGCUGAAACUUAAAGGAAUUGGCGGGGGAGCACAACAACGGGUGGAGCCCUGCGGUUUAAUUGGACUCAACGCCGGACAACUCACCGGGGGCGACAGCAAUAUGUAGGCCAAGCUGAAGACUUUGCCUGAAUCGCUGAGAAGAGGUGCAUGG